AUCUGACUUAGUUAAGGGGUGCACAUAAAAGGAAGGUUUCUUCCUAUGAGGCCGUUUGAGGGGACUCUCACUCAUCUCUCCAUGUGGUAUCCCUCAAGCAGCCUUGUACAUAA
Molecule: small nucleolar RNA, 113 nt
Organism: Zingiber officinale
Lineage: Eukaryota; Viridiplantae; Streptophyta; Magnoliopsida; Zingiberales; Zingiberaceae
Product: small nucleolar RNA U19
Exons: 1
Source: RefSeq, a predicted model, not a curated record